RNAcentral lists this ribosomal RNA (294 nucleotides) under uncultured bacterium. Its description in RNAcentral is "partial 16S ribosomal RNA". It matches the Rfam family "Bacterial small subunit ribosomal RNA", at positions 775 to 1067 of the family's 1533-position model. The record is from RNAcentral.
GGAUUAGAUACCCUGGUAGUCCAUGCCGUAAACGAUGUGUGUUAGACGUUGGAAAUUUAUUUUCAGUGUCGCAGCGAAAGCAGUAAACACACCGCCUGGGGAGUACGACCGCAAGGUUAAAACUCAAAUGAAUUGACGGGGACCCGCACAAGUAGUGGAGCAUGUGGUUUAAUUCGAAGAUACGCGCAGAACCUUACCAACACUUGACAUGUUCGUCGCGGCUCUAAGAGAUUAGAGCUUUCGGUUCGGCCGGACGAAACACAGGUGCUGCAUGGCUGUCGUCAGCUCGUGCCG